Molecule: ribosomal RNA, 429 nt
Filed under: uncultured bacterium
Lineage: Bacteria
Description: bacterial SSU rRNA
Rfam family: Bacterial small subunit ribosomal RNA
Source: RNAcentral
UAGGGAAUAUUGCGCAAUGGGGGAAACCCUGACGCAGCUAUGCCGCGUGUGUGAAGAAGGCCUUAGGGUUGUAAAGCACUUUCAAUUGGGAGGAAAAGUUCAAAGUUAAUACCUUUGAGCCCUGACGUUACCUUUAGAAGAAGCACCGGCUAACUCCGUGCCAGCAGCCGCGGUAAUACGGAGGGUGCAAGCGUUAAUCGGAAUUACUGGGCGUAAAGCGCGCGUAGGCGGUUUGUUAAGUCGGAUGUGAAAGCCCCGGGCUCAACCUGGGAACUGCAUUCGAUACUGGUCGACUAGAGUGCGAGAGAGGGAGGUAGAAUUCCACGUGUAGCGGUGAAAUGCGUAGAUAUGUGGAGGAAUACCGGUGGCGAAGGCGGCCUCCUGGCUCGACACUGACGCUGAGGUGCGAAAGCGUGGGGAGCAAACAGG